This 1155-nucleotide long non-coding RNA is filed under the name Hordeum vulgare. RNAcentral's name for it is "long non-coding RNA (HVUL_LNC011258)". The record is from RNAcentral. Lineage: Eukaryota; Viridiplantae; Streptophyta; Magnoliopsida; Poales; Poaceae.
AUCAGGAAUUGUUCUUUCAGACCAAGGAAAAAUUAUGCAGGGGGAUGUUUGUGGAAAUUAUAAGUUGUCAAGUAGAUUAAGAUAGAGGGUGCAGUCAAGUGCAGUGGAGAUUCAGAGUCAUAUCAGCAAUGUGACGGCAGAAGCAAAAGAAACCCGUUUUCGUCAUACCUGAGAUUGCCUGUACUGUAAUGGAACUCCAGGCAUCUCUCCAGACAAAACUUUGACGCCCACAUCUGCAUCCAUUUCACAAGUCAAACACAAUGAAAUUAUACUCAGAUGGAACUUGGUUAGGCAUUCGCGACACAAUCAGGCAUAGUGCUUGCUGUUCAGUAUUCUUGAUGUCAGCUAGAGCAAAUGGGCAGAGAGUUUCAGAUUUUAGCUAACUAUAAUCAUCAUCAUUAUUCUGUGAGGCUAGCCUAGCUUGAGCUUCAGGUUUUGCAAUGCAGUAGGUAAAGAUAACCAAAAUGAGGGAUCCCAGUUUCCAGAGCAAUUAUUUACUAAACUGACUGUACGACUGAAUGAUUCAGUUUCAGAGGGAUUAUUUUCAGAGCCCCAAGAAAGUAACCACGGCAAGUUCUAGUGUAUCGAACUAAGGAUGAUCUAGUAAUUUACUGUACUAAUGUUAGUCUCUUAGUAUUAUCUGAUCCUUGAUAAAAACAAAAAUUCCUCUUCAAAUACAAGUGCAGAAACCUUACAUCCUUGACUGAAUAAUUUGAAGUCAUCAACUGUAGAAAACAAGAAAAGGUAGUAAUCAGCCUUGGUGAUUGCUGAAGAUCUUUCUCCAUACUUCUAGGUUCUAGCUUUGCUCUACAUAUGGAUGGUUUAGGGAUUCUGAAAAGCAACAGUAACAAAAUGUGGUAAAAACUUACUUGAUCCAGACAACAACCUGAUUCGAAAUAUAACAUCAGGAUUUGCUUUUUCAGACCAAGGACAAACUAACUAUGCAGGGGAAUGUUUGUGCAACUUAUAAGUUGUCAAGAAGAUCAAGGUAGAAAGUGCAGUCAUGUGCACUGCAAAUUCAUCGUUAUAUUGGCAAUGUGACAGCAGAAGCAAAGGAAAACCGUUUUCGUCAUACCUAAGGUUGCCUGCACUGUAAUGAAUGGUCAGCUUCUGAAGAUGAGAUAAUUCAUCCUCCCCUGCCUCUCUGGAUGCAGU